Strongylocentrotus purpuratus (purple sea urchin) is the source of this 85-nucleotide non-coding RNA. Lineage: Eukaryota; Metazoa; Echinodermata; Echinoidea; Camarodonta; Strongylocentrotidae. The record is from Rfam.
CGCAGCGUGGCCGAGUGGUCUAAGGCGCUGGUGGUCGGCACCAGUCAUCAGUGCGAUGGCGUGGGUUCGAAUCCCACCGCUGCAA